CACCAGUGUCAAACUCAUCAUCUGCGCCUCGGUUCCCCAUUCAUAAAGGGAAGAAAUGAGGACUCACACUUUGCUACGGGGGAAAAUGACCCAACGGAGGUAGCCAGUGAGUGAAUUCUGAUUUUUCACAUCUGCUGCACAUACUUGCAGCCUGGCCAAUGCGUUGCUCCUGCCAGCGCUGAGGAGGAAGGCAUCGCUGCUCAGAGGCUCAAAUACCCAGCAGGAAACAGCUCCUGACCUGCAGACCUCAGGAUUCGAGUGGUUUUCUUCCAGCGUGCCUUUGCCUCCUGCCCUGAACCCAAGAGACAUUUGCACAAGGAAGGCACAAAGAUGCUGUGACAGGGGAUGGAUAACUACUAUUUACUGCCUGGAUCCCGAGGCACACAUCACCAGGUCUGCAGCUAGCACCGCUCAAGCGAUGCAUUGUAUUCACUAGCACAAGGACGAUCCCAGCACAGAUGAAAGAAGUCUCCCCCUGGGUCAAGAGGAAUGGAAGAUGAAAGAUGAGAGUGACACACGUGCCUAAUUUACCUUCAGGAGCAAUAUUUUUUUGGUCUUUGUAUGGGAAAGUAUGAGGCAUUGGUAAGGGCGCAUCUGGAAUAUCUCCUGCAGGCCGGAUCAGUCGUGUCCAUGAAUGAGGCAUUCAGAGCAGGCAGGUGGUGGGAAGUGCCAGGACAUGGACAGGAGGAUGGAGAACUUGUCAUCUGAUGGGAGGCUGCAGAGCUGGGCCUUUUUUAGCUCAGCACAACAGCGGUGAGAGGGGAAAUGAGUGCCGUUGCACACGAAAGGUAAAAAUAGCUGGGAGCAAAAAGAAACACUGGAGUGAAAGAAAAAACGUUGGCACGAGAACAAGUAGGUUUUAAUUGGCCUGGAGUAAAUUUAGUCUGGAAAUUAGAUGAAGUUUCCUAAGCAUCAGAUCAGCAAAGUCCUGGAACAGACUUCCAGGGACUGUGAAAACAGGGCUUGCUCAGAUGACAAAUAGGUUUGAGCGUGGCGGCGGCUCUGAGAACAGGAGCUCAGUGUGGUGAGCUGCAGGCCCAAACCGCGUGCACCCAUGUUUUUGGGGAGAUAUAAAGAUAUAAAAGAGGAUAGCAGCAAGGUAGAGCUGCAAGGCAGCAGCGGUCCAAUGUGCAGGUGAAGAAAUACUCCACCCUGGGGAGCUCCCUGGUCCAUCUUCCUUGUAAGCUUGCAACAUCUGCCAAAUCGCUAA
Molecule: long non-coding RNA, 1210 nt
Filed under: Anser brachyrhynchus (Pink-footed goose)
Lineage: Eukaryota; Metazoa; Chordata; Aves; Anseriformes; Anatidae
Description: lncRNA (ENSABRG00000015238.1)
Source: RNAcentral